Molecule: ribosomal RNA, 482 nt
Filed under: uncultured bacterium
Lineage: Bacteria
Description: partial 16S ribosomal RNA
Rfam family: Bacterial small subunit ribosomal RNA
Source: RNAcentral
AUUGAACGCUGGCGGCAUGCCUUACACAUGCAAGUCGAACGGUAACAGGUCUUCGGUUGCUGACGAGUGGCGAACGGGUGCGUAAUACAUCGGAACGUGCCCGAUCGUGGGGGGUAACGAGGCAAAAGCUUUGCUAAUACCGCAUACGAUCUACGAAUGAAAGCGGGGGAUCUUCGGACCUCGCGCGGGCGGAGCGGCCGAUGGCAGAUUAGGUAGUUGGUGGGUUAAAAGCUUACCAAGCCGACGAUUUGUAGCUGGUCUGAGAGGAUGAUCAGCCACACUGGGACUGAGACACGGCCCAGACUCCUACGGGAGGCAGCAGUGGGGAAUUUUGGACAAUGGGCGAAAGCCUGAUCCAGCCAUGCCGCGUGCAUGAUGAAGGCCUUUGGGUUGUAAAAUGCUUUUGUACGGAACGAAAAGCCUCUUACUAAUAAAGAGAGGUCAUGACGGUACCGUAAGAAUAAGCACCGGCUAACUACGUG